UUCAGUUUAACAAGUCUUAUGGAUGAUGGAGAAGACUGUAUUCCUUACUGGUUUCCACGUUGGAUUAAGUUGGAUCAAGUUGAAUCGGACACGUUUGUUAUACUAUGAACUUGUGAUGUCGCAUUAGUCAAUAGGAAAUGAUUGGUUAUGCUUGGACUUAUAUACUCUCUAACUCUCUCUGAUUGGUUCUUUCUUUUAACAGUUUUUCUUUGCUGCUAUGGAGUUAGUAAAGAAAGUUAAGGC
Molecule: non-coding RNA, 243 nt
Organism: Pelobates cultripes (western spadefoot toad)
Lineage: Eukaryota; Metazoa; Chordata; Amphibia; Anura; Pelobatidae
Source: the annotation of a GenBank genome assembly